GACGUAGGGCGCGAGCGUUGUCCGGAUUUAUUGGGCGUAGAGAGCUCGUAGGCGGUUUGUUGCGUCGGCUGUGAAAACCCAUGGCUUAACUGUGGGCUUGCAGCCGAUACGGGCAGACUAGAGUUCGGUAGGGGAGACUGGAAUUCCUGGUGUAGCGGUGAAAUGCGCAGAUAUCAGGAGGAACACCGGUGGCGAAGGCGGGCCUCUGGGCCGAUACUGACGCUGAGGAGCGAAAGCGUGGGGAGCAAACAGG
RNAcentral lists this ribosomal RNA (253 nucleotides) under uncultured bacterium. RNAcentral's name for it is "partial 16S ribosomal RNA". It matches the Rfam family "Bacterial small subunit ribosomal RNA", at positions 524 to 776 of the family's 1533-position model. The record is from RNAcentral.